Long non-coding RNA from Oxyura jamaicensis (ruddy duck), 1066 nucleotides. RefSeq lists it as uncharacterized. The record is from RefSeq and is a predicted model, not a curated record. The transcript is spliced from 3 exons. NCBI's taxonomy places the organism in Eukaryota, Metazoa, Chordata, Aves, Anseriformes, Anatidae.
UGACUGGGCAGGUCUUAAUGCUAAGAUGGUAAUCUCUGAUGAUCACCUGGGCCCAAAGAUAUUCAGAAAGUUCUGGCUCAUAUAAACUAUUGAUAAAUAACUUAGGUAUCACUGCUAUUUGGUUAUCUCUGACUUAAUACGCAUAGUUCUCUUUCAAGCAUUUUGAUUUAAUGUUGAAAACUGUUUGAUAGUAACCUCCAGUGUGCACCUGAGCCAGAAAUCAAUCACCAGCACUUCCAGAUUGGCAGUGGAGCGCGUAUCACAACUCGUAGCUUGGUUUUAGCCUUGGUUAAGGACCAAAUUUCCAAAAGCACUUAGCUUAAAUAAAAUUUGCUUUCACUUGGAAAACUACUACUGUUAAAAGCAAGAUACACCUUUACUCGUAUGUAAAAAUACGGGGCAGUUCAAACAAAUAAGGCUGUUUCCUAUGAGACAUAAUUGCUUAGUUGCCAAAGUACUAAAUAAAACUUGAGGAGGUAAAUAAGGUAAAGAAAUGUAUUUUCCAGUAGUGGCUUUGCUUGGAGUUUCUGUGUACCUGUGGAGUGUAGUAAGAAACUACUACAGAAGACCGUUCAACAUCUUGUGCAGUUCACAAGUAGUUACUAGAGCUCUGGUUUAUAUUUAUAUACCUAUUUUAUUGAGGUAAACUUAAUGAAGGUAAUUUUUAGUUCUUUUCUGCUUCCUUUUUAAAGCUACCUUUCGCAAAAGGAAACUAAAAGGUUCUCCCACACACCGUGUCAACAGUGAUGAGGAAGAUGCAAAAAAGCCAAAAGCUAAUAACCUGGGUGGGUCAGAGUCUAAAAAACAAUGGGAGAAGCGAGAGAUGCUUGUAAAGAAGCUGCAAAAUACAUUCCCUGGAUUGGACAAGAAGAAACUGAGAGAUGUACUUCAGGAACAUAACUGGGUAUUUCAGGAAGCACAAGAAGCCCUGAGAGUAUCUGCGGAAGACAAUGAAGGUAAAGACAGGCUUAAAAUGCAUUUUAUCCCAAGCCAAAACAAACAGGCUUAUAGUAUAAAUCUUUUCAAAUGUCCGGCAAUGACGGCCCUGACAGUGCUACAUCUAGAA